This 455-nucleotide ribosomal RNA is filed under the name uncultured bacterium. Its description in RNAcentral is "bacterial SSU rRNA". It matches the Rfam family "Bacterial small subunit ribosomal RNA", at positions 28 to 524 of the family's 1533-position model. The record is from RNAcentral.
GAUGAACGCUGGCGGUAUGCCUAACACAUGCAAGUCGAACGGAGCAUUUCGGUGCUUAGUGGCGGACGGGUGAGUAACGCGUGAGAAUCUGCCUUAGGGAUGGGGACAACAGUGGGAAACCGCUGCUAAAACCCAAUAAGCCGAGAGGUAAAAGUAUUUAUAGCCUUAAGAGGAGCUCGCGUCCGAUUAGUUAGUUGGUGGGGUAAAAGCCUACCAAGGCAGCGAUCGGUAGCUGGUCUGAGAGGAUGAGCAGCCACACUGGGACUGAGACACGGCCCAGACUCCUACGGGAGGCAGCAGUGGGGAAUUUUCCGCAAUGGGCGAAAGCCUGACGGAGCAAUACCGCGUGAGGGAGGAAGGCUUUUGGGUUGUAAACCUCUUUUAUCAAGGAAGAAGAAAGUGACGGUACUUGAAGAAUCAGCAUCGGCUAACUCCGUGCCAGCAGCCGCGGUAAU